RNAcentral lists this ribosomal RNA (252 nucleotides) under uncultured bacterium. RNAcentral's name for it is "partial 16S ribosomal RNA". It matches the Rfam family "Bacterial small subunit ribosomal RNA", at positions 524 to 775 of the family's 1533-position model. The record is from RNAcentral.
UACGUAGGGUGCAAGCGUUGUCCGGAAUUAUUGGGCGUAAAGAGCUCGUAGGCGGUUUGUCGCGUCUGCUGUGAAAACUCGGGGCUUAACUCCGGGCCUGCAGUGGGUACGGGCAGACUAGAGUGCGGUAGGGGAGACUGGAAUUCCUGGUGUAGCGGUGAAAUGCGCAGAUAUCGGGAGGAACACCAAUGGCGAAGGCAGCUCGCUGGGACGGUACUGACGCUGAGGCGCGAAAGCGUGGGGAGCAACAGG